This 198-nucleotide ribosomal RNA is filed under the name uncultured bacterium. RNAcentral's name for it is "partial 16S ribosomal RNA". It matches the Rfam family "Bacterial small subunit ribosomal RNA", at positions 326 to 539 of the family's 1533-position model. The record is from RNAcentral.
ACGCUCGACACCUACGGAAGGCAGCAGUGGGGAAUAUUGCACAAUGGGGGAAACCCUGAUGCAGCGACGCCGCGUGAGUGAAGAAGUAAUUCGUUAUGUAAAGCUCUAUCAGCAGGGAAGAAAGUGACGGUACCUGAGUAAGAAGCCCCGGCUAACUACGUGCAAGCAGCCGCGGUAAUCUGAGCGGGCUGGCAAGGC